CAGGAUAACAACAUGAUUCAUUGUUAACACCCAGGAUAGCUACCCUGGACUUGAGUAACAGGUUCCUAGGCUUCAGCCAGGCAGCUUUCCUGCUCUGUGGCUACUGGCGUCAACCCUGUCUCACACUGAAGUCCCUGGUGUGUUAUCCACAGUGUCCAGUCCCUCUGAAGGUGUCUUUCCUAGUGGCUGUGCCAACAGUGAGUGACAAAGCUUCUUGGAGUAUUUAGAGCAAAAUCAUUGCCAUAAGGAGCACAGCUGUGAGAUGGUCCCACGUUGUUGGCAGUGCUGGGACAGUUUUCUCUGGUGCAGAAAACCCUUUGGUGUCCUG
Molecule: long non-coding RNA, 328 nt
Organism: Melospiza melodia melodia
Lineage: Eukaryota; Metazoa; Chordata; Aves; Passeriformes; Passerellidae
Exons: 3
Source: RefSeq, a predicted model, not a curated record